GUUAAGCGACUAAGCGUACACGGUGGAUGCCCUGGCAGUCAGAGGCGAUGAAGGACGUGCUAAUCUGCGAUAAGCGUCGGUAAGGUGAUAUGAACCGUUAUAACCGGCGAUUUCCGAAUGGGGAAACCCAGUGUGUUUCGACACACUAUCAUUAACUGAAUCCAUAGGUUAAUGAGGCGAACCGGGGGAACUGAAACAUCUAAGUACCCCGAGGAAAAGAAAUCAACCGAGAUUCCCCCAGUAGCGGCGAGCGAACGGGGAGCAGCCCAGAGCCUGAAUCAGUAUGUGUGUUAGUGGAAGCGUCUGGAAAGGCGCGCGAUACAGGGUGACAGCCCCGUACACAAAAAUGCACAUGCUGUGAGCUCGAUGAGUAGGGCGGGACACGUGGUAUCCUGUCUGAAUAUGGGGGGACCAUCCUCCAAGGCUAAAUACUCCUGACUGACCGAUAGUGAACCAGUACCGUGAGGGAAAGGCGAAAAGAACCCCGGCGAGGGGAGUGAAAAAGAACCUGAAACCGUGU
This 520-nucleotide ribosomal RNA is filed under the name Escherichia coli. Its description in RNAcentral is "partial 23S ribosomal RNA". It matches the Rfam family "Bacterial large subunit ribosomal RNA", at positions 1 to 561 of the family's 2925-position model. The record is from RNAcentral. RNAcentral also lists the same sequence under 1 other name. Lineage: Bacteria; Pseudomonadati; Pseudomonadota; Gammaproteobacteria; Enterobacterales; Enterobacteriaceae.